CAUACCGGACUUCAUCCAUGCCGCCACCACGUUUUGCGCGUCCCGAGCUGAAUGGCAUCAUAACUGUGCGACGCUUCCAGCGUCCUCAGCUUGAAACCGAAGCGCCGAUUAGAAAAGGUGACCUGAAAGAGCCGUUGGAAGCUGUAGCUGGUCGAGUGGGCUUGCGAGCACGAUGUUCCACGAGCGCACCGUCCGCCGACUUGUGUCUUGUCGACGAUCAAGAGCUUGUGCUCAUGGGAAAGCUAGUGGACAAAGGAGUGUACUAUAUCACAGGGGGCGUUUGUAUCGAUGCAGAGGGCAGCGAUACAUCAUCACAAAGCCCCACAGCGGCUCUUGUGAGCAGCACGGCAUGUGGGGCGGCACCUCAGCCUCCCGACAUCACCGUGGGGUGGUGUUUCGACGCGCGCAUGCUGCUACAUCGCUCUGACAUGAACCGCUCCCCCGAGACACCACACCGUCUGCAACGCGCAAUCGAGACACUUCAGGGCUGCGAGCGCGCGCUCGACGUUCUGCCUGUCGAGCUGCUGGCUCCCUUUACGAUGCACAGGGAUAGCAGCUCAGGCUCGGACUUGGGCCGAGCGGUGCCACCGAUCAGCGCAGCCAACCGCUCGCAAUGGAUACCUGCACGGCUCGCCACUUAUGACGAGGUUUGCUCCUUCCAAGAUCCGCAAGUCUACGAACAUUUUUUGAAGAGUGGGGCGGCUCUGGUGAACUUGAAAAGCGACGUUUACUGCAACGACGAGACAAGCAGCGUAGCUGUCCGACUCUCGGCAGGCGCCGUGAUCGACGCUAGCGUCGCCGCGCUUCGCGGUGUGGCGGCUUCCCGCUCCGACACCGCCUCCAGCGCUGCGGGGCGUGUGCACCCCCUCGUGUCAUUUUGUCUUGUGCGGCCGCCGGGGCAUCAUUGCACGGCUUCACAGCCGAGCGGAUUUUGCCUGGUCAACAAUGUCGCCAUCGCAGUUCAGCAACUGCGCAUUCGGCACGCAUCAGCGUUGCCCUCUGGCCCUCCGCGCAUCGCAAUUCUCGAUCUGGACGUCCACUUCGGCGAGGGAACCGCUUCUUUUGUUGAGGGUGCCUGCGACCCCGCCUCGCUGCUGUAUCUUUCGCUCCACCGCUACGAUAAAAGGCAGUUCUAUCCAUUUGACGGCCGCGGCGACACGGCUUACGUGGGAGGGAGCCGACACGCCGCCUCCAAAGGCAGCAUCUGUAAUGUGGCCGUGCACACCAACGGGCAACAGCCGGCACGAUGUGAGCAGGUCAUCUCCGACCACCUAAUGAACUCUGUUUUGGAGGAAAUUUUCUUGCCCCGGCUGGCUGAGUUUGGGCCCGACCUGGUCAUGGUGUCAUUGGGGUUCGAUGCUGCCUAUGGCGAUCCAUUGGGCAAGAUGGCUGUCGAGGGUGGAUUUGCCUCGGUCCUGUCGCGGCUGAAGUGGUGGUGCCUGCAUGACGGACGGACAGCGGGGUUGGUCGUUGUUCUGGAGGGCGGCUACAACCCGGAGGCAGUUGCGCAAGGGGUGCUUUCGGUCGCUCUUGCCUUGAGCCUUCCUCGCACCGACCCGUUGCUGCAGCGAUUUCUUGAGGAAAAGUCACCGAAGGUCUGGUCAGACCUGCGGCAACGGCAAGAGCGGCGUCAUCGCGAGUGGCAGCAGCUGCGAGAGGAGCGGGCAGAGGAGGAUGUCGGAGCCGCACCCAGCGGCCGGGGCUCUGAAUUGAAGCCGGCUGCAUCGGAUGAACCAGAGCAGGUGCAAGAAGACGCGUUGCUCCUGGAUCGUCACAAGCGCUGGUGCGCCGCACUGGUAGCCAAGGUUCAGCAAAUACACCGGGAAGCCAUGACACGUGAGCACUAGUUUCUCAUCCCCGCGUGCCUCGUGUGCCACAAACCUUAGCGUUUUGACUGAGGCGUCUGCUGUCCACAAACAUCAACACGCGACACUGUGCGCUUCCCAGCUCUACACCCACGGCGGCGGCGACUAGUAAGGAAUCUUGCUAUAUGUGCGUUGUACUGAAAGACCCGAUCAAGCACGUGCCAGCUUGUGAUCGCCGAUCGGUGUGACAUGCACGUACUUCUGCUGCUUUUCUCCUGCACCCCCGCACACUCUCGAGGCUCGUCGACAUUUUGUCCCUCCCCGCCUCCUAGCUCCUUACACAAAGAACUAUCCGUUUGUUUCGCGCCAGUUCCAUUACGCUUUCUUUCCACCUUCCUUCCACCGAGCCCCCCCCCCCCCCCCCCCCCAACAUCGACCAGGAGUACAAAACACCAGCACACGCGCCACGUCGUCCCCACGCCCACUCACGGUGACGCCUCCAUCGCGCAAAGCUCAGCAUUCACCGGCCCCGAUUCGUGUUGGCGCGCAGCGCAUGCACCGGGAAUGUGUGACGUGCGUCGCUGCGCGCCUCGCCGUCUCCCCUGCGUGCGCGAUGCAUGGAUGCACCGCUGUUGUGUGAGGUUGUCCGCGCCUGCGUUGCCUGU
RNAcentral lists this unclassified non-coding RNA (2470 nucleotides) under Leishmania donovani. RNAcentral describes it as "gene:LdHU3.08.1380(CDS-product:histone_deacetylas e_putative)". The record is from RNAcentral. Lineage: Eukaryota; Euglenozoa; Kinetoplastea; Trypanosomatida; Trypanosomatidae.